UACAGAGGUGGCAAGCGUUGUUCGGAAUUACUGGGCGUAAAGGGCGCGUAGGCGGCUUGUACAGUCAGACGUGAAAUUCCUGGGCUCAACCUGGGGGCUGCGUUUGAUACGUGCGGGCUUGAGUUCGGAAGAGGGUCGUGGAAUUCCCAGUGUAGAGGUGAAAUUCGUAGAUAUUGGGAAGAACACCGGUGGCGAAGGCGGCGACCUGGUCCGAUACUGACGCUGAGGUGCGAAAGCGUGGGGAGCAAACAGG
RNAcentral lists this ribosomal RNA (253 nucleotides) under uncultured bacterium. RNAcentral describes it as "partial 16S ribosomal RNA". It matches the Rfam family "Bacterial small subunit ribosomal RNA", at positions 524 to 776 of the family's 1533-position model. The record is from RNAcentral.